Molecule: ribosomal RNA, 424 nt
Filed under: uncultured bacterium
Lineage: Bacteria
Description: bacterial SSU rRNA
Rfam family: Bacterial small subunit ribosomal RNA
Source: RNAcentral
AGAGUUUGAUCCUGGCUCAGAACGAACGUUGGCGGCGUGGAUUAGGCAUGCAAGUCGAACGAAUCCCUUGGGGGUAACUCUGAGGGGGAAGUGGCGAAAGGGGCAGUAAGGCAUGGGUAACUUGCCCCGGGGCCCGGAAUAGCUAUCCUAACGGAUAGGUAAUACCGGAUGUCCUGAUGAGACGGCAUCGUUUUGUCAGGAAAGAUUUAUCACCCCGGGAGAGGCUCAUGUAGUAUUAGCUAGUUGGUGAGGUAACGGCUCACCAAGGCCAAGAUGCUUAGCAGGUGUGAGAGCACGACCUGCGCCACUGGCACUGAGACACUGGCCAGACUCCUACGGGAGGCUGCAGUCGAGGAUCUUCGGCAAUGGGCGCAAGCCUGACCGAGCGACGCCGCGUGUGCGAUGAAGGCCUUCGGGUUGUAAA